RNAcentral lists this ribosomal RNA (500 nucleotides) under uncultured Glomeromycotina. RNAcentral describes it as "partial small subunit ribosomal RNA". It matches the Rfam family "Eukaryotic small subunit ribosomal RNA", at positions 591 to 1092 of the family's 1831-position model. The record is from RNAcentral. Lineage: Eukaryota; Fungi; Glomeromycota.
CCAAUAGCGUAUAUUAAAGUUGUUGCAGUUAAAAAGCUCGUAGUUGAAUUUCGGGGUCAGUAGGUUGGUCGUGCCACUGGUAUGUACUGGCCUCACUGAUUCCUCCUUCUUGUAGAACCGUAAUGCCAUUAAUUUGGUGUUGCGGGGAAACAGGACUGUUACUUUGAAAAAUUUAGAGUGUUUAAAGCAGGCUAACGCUUGAAUACAGUAGCAUGGAAUAAUGAAAUAGGACGUUCGAUCCUAUUUUGUUGGUUUCUAGGAUUGACGUAAUGAUUAAUAGGGAUAGUUGGGGGCAUUAGUAUUCAAUUGUCAGAGGUGAAAUUCUUGGAUUUAUUGAAGACUAACUACUGCGAAAGCAUUUGCCAAGGAUGUUUUCAUUAAUCAAGAACGAAAGUUAGGGGAUCGAAGACGAUCAGAUACCGUCGUAGUCUUAACCAUAAACUAUGCCGACUAGGGAUCGGAUGAUGUUAAUUUUUUAAUGACUCAUUCGGCGCCUUACG